CGCUACAUUGCCGCCGCGACUUUGCUGCCUAGCUCGGAAUGUAAUCUCAUAUAAGCUUAUAGAGAUUGUAUGGGGACCAGUAGUGCCGCGACAGCACUGUUGCGGCAGCACUGCUGCGUGCAGCGUGGUUCGGAAUCAUACCUUAAUUUAUAUUGCGCUCUAUAAAC
Long non-coding RNA from Maniola jurtina (meadow brown), 167 nucleotides. RefSeq lists it as uncharacterized. Lineage: Eukaryota; Metazoa; Arthropoda; Insecta; Lepidoptera; Nymphalidae. The record is from RefSeq and is a predicted model, not a curated record. The transcript has 3 exons.